Molecule: long non-coding RNA, 1123 nt
Organism: Mesocricetus auratus (golden hamster)
Lineage: Eukaryota; Metazoa; Chordata; Mammalia; Rodentia; Cricetidae
Exons: 2
Source: RefSeq, a predicted model, not a curated record
GCUCGGUGGGCAUCUGCUGAGGUGUGGUACCUGUUGGGAAUGGAGGUUAGCCAAAACCCUCUUCUUGGUAUGGCUCUGUUCCCGUCAGGCUACCUUACAACUCAGUUUCUACAACUGUUAAAGGACUAAGUGCUGAAAGGUCUUCUGUUUUUGCAUUUUGAUAGUUUUGCCAUGUAAAAAUCAGUUUGCGGAGCAGUAACCAGAAGAGCUGGAGAGGUGGGGCUGCCCAAAAGAUCAAUAAUGAGUCCCAGCUGUCAGACACUGAGUUACAAGGUUUAGAUUUUCACUGUUGAUUUUGGUUUUGCUUUGAUCUGAUUUUCUAUCCCAGUUCUUCCCUAUUGGAUUAAGAGUCCCUGCCCUGAUUUUCCUCACUGAUGGAUGGUGAACUGGAAAUGUAAGCCAAAUGCACAUACAGGAAGGAGCAAGAAAGGAAAGAGGCAAGUUGUCACAGAGCAGGGACUCCUGUGACUCUUUCCACUUUAAGGGUGCUUGAGGAUGCAAGACAUACUCAAGUGCUCUUGAGCUUGCAACUCAGUGAAUCACGAGGAAAUGAAGGCAGCGAACCCAUCACCAAGGGGCAGAUACACCUACUAAUCUGUACUUCAUUGCAUCUGGGGGAAACAGCUGUGUCUUUUGCCCAGUUUUCCAACAGGGUCAGCUGCUGCUGAUUUGCUACCGCACAGAACUCUCCGAUGUUCCUCUUGAGAGAAGCUGACAUUACAUCACCACCCCCAACUCUGGUCUAUGUUUGUAUUUCUCUAGGAAACCCUUUUCUGACCAGGAAACAACAGACAUUUUCCUAUGCAUUUUUAAAAACCUGCCACCCCUUUCCUCUUGUGGAAUUCUUGAUGCGAUGCAUGAGGAUGUUGUCAUGAGGAAGCACUGUUGGAUGACUCACCAUUAGCCACUAUUUGUAGAUGGCCCCUUCUCUUUUGGGAGUGUAGUGAAAGCUGGCCAGGGCGGGCCUCUUCACCCUAGCACCUUCAGACCCUGCGCUGUCUAGAGAUCAACAGUCCAGUCUGGCUUUCAGCUUCUCCUUGGACCCAAACUGCUCUGUGCUCAUUAUUGUGACCCUACAGUAAGUCUUUGUAUUAAAAGGACAAAUUAAAUUCCUUUAUCAUGA